Molecule: ribosomal RNA, 301 nt
Filed under: uncultured bacterium
Lineage: Bacteria
Description: partial 16S ribosomal RNA
Rfam family: Bacterial small subunit ribosomal RNA
Source: RNAcentral
CAGUCGCCGCGGUAAUACAGAGGAUGCAAGCGUUAUCCGGAAUGAUUGGGCGUAAAGCGUCUGUAGGUGGCUUUUCAAGUCCGCCGUCAAAUCCCAGGGCUCAACCGUGGACAGGCGGUGGAAACUACCAAGCUGGAGUAUGGUAGGGGCAGAGGGAAUUUCCGGUGGAGCGGUGAAAUGCGUUGAGAUCGGAAAGAACACCAACAGCGAAAUCACUCUGCUAGGCCGACACUGACACUGAGAGACGAAAUCUAGGGGAGCAAAUGGGAUUAGAUACCCCCGUAGUCCCUGUCUCUUAUAC